UACAGGGGGUGCAAACGUUGCUCGGAAUCAUUGGGCGUAAAGCGCACGUAGGCGGUCUGUUAUGUCGGAUGUGAAAGCCCUUGGCUCAACUGAGGAAGUGCAUCCGAAACUGGCAGGCUAGAGUACUAAAGAGGAUCGCGGAAUUCCCGGUGUAGAGGUGAAAUUCGUAGAUAUCGGGAGGAACACCGGUGGCGAAGUCGGCGAUCUGGGUAGAUACUGACGCUGAGGUGCGAAAGCGUGGGGAGCAAACAGG
RNAcentral lists this ribosomal RNA (253 nucleotides) under uncultured bacterium. Its description in RNAcentral is "partial 16S ribosomal RNA". It matches the Rfam family "Bacterial small subunit ribosomal RNA", at positions 524 to 776 of the family's 1533-position model. The record is from RNAcentral.